UGCUCCCAUUCUAAGGGUAAGACUGUGGUGU
RNAcentral lists this non-coding RNA (31 nucleotides) under Homo sapiens (human). The record is from RNAcentral. Lineage: Eukaryota; Metazoa; Chordata; Mammalia; Primates; Hominidae.